GAGACACGCUGGCGGCGUGGAUUAGGCAUGCAAGUCGAACGGUAUCAUCCUUUCGGGGGUGAGAGAGUGGCGAACUGGUGAGUAACACGUAGGUUAUCUACCCUCAAGACGGGGACAACCCAGGGAAACUUGGGCUAAUACCGGAUGUGAGCAACUUUAGUUGUUUGAAAGGUGGCGUAAGCUGUCGCUUGGGGAUGAGCCUGCGUCCUAUUAGUUAGUUGGUGAGGUAACGGCUCACCUAGGCAAUGAUAGGUAGGCGGCCUUAACGGGUGGUCGCCCACACUGGGAUUGAGAUACGGCCCAGACUCCUACGGGAGGCAGCAGUCGAGAAUAGUCUACAAUGGUCGGAAGACUGAUAGUGCGACGCCGCGUGAACGAUGAAUCCCUUCGGGGUGUAAAGUUCUUUUAUAUGUGAGCAGUGCUUCUUAUAUUAACAGUAUGGGGAGAGAGAUAUUAGCAUAUGAAUAAGCAACGGCUAACUCCGUG
Molecule: ribosomal RNA, 486 nt
Filed under: uncultured bacterium
Lineage: Bacteria
Description: bacterial SSU rRNA
Rfam family: Bacterial small subunit ribosomal RNA
Source: RNAcentral